AGUGAACGCUGGCGGUAGGCCUAACACAUGCAAGUCGAACGGCAGCACAGUAAGAGCUUGCUCUUACGGGUGGCGAGUGGCGGACGGGUGAGGAAUACAUCGGAAUCUACUUUUUCGUGGGGGAUAACGUAGGGAAACUACCCCAAAACCGCAUAAGACCCACGGGUGAAAGGAGGGGAAUUUUGGACCUUGCGCGGUUGAAUGAGCCGAUGUCGGAUUAGGGAGUUGGGGGGGUAAGGGCCCACCAAGGCGACGAUCCGUAGCUGGUCUGAGAGGAUGAUCAGCCACACUGGAACUGAGACACGGUCCAGACUCCUACGGGAGGCAGCAGUGGGGAAUAUUGGACAAUGGGCGCAAGCCUGAUCCAGCCAUACCGCGUGGGUGAAGAAGGCCUUCGGGUUGUAAAGCCCUUUUGUUGGGAAAGAAAAGCAGCAGGUUAAUACCCCGCUGUUCUGACGGUACCCAAAGAAUAAGCACCGGCUAACUUCGUG
This 491-nucleotide ribosomal RNA is filed under the name uncultured bacterium. RNAcentral describes it as "partial 16S ribosomal RNA". It matches the Rfam family "Bacterial small subunit ribosomal RNA", at positions 29 to 507 of the family's 1533-position model. The record is from RNAcentral.